UACAACUUUCAACAACGGAUCUCUUGGCUCUCGCAUCGAUGAAGAACGCAGCGAAAUGCGAUAAGUAAUGUGAAUUGCAGAAUUCAGUGAAUCAUCGAAUCUUUGAACGCACCUUGCGCUCCUUGGUAUUCCGAGGAGCAUGCCUGUUUGAGUG
RNAcentral lists this ribosomal RNA (154 nucleotides) under Entoloma sericeum. Its description in RNAcentral is "5.8S ribosomal RNA". It matches the Rfam family "5.8S ribosomal RNA". Rfam says of the family: 5.8S ribosomal RNA (5.8S rRNA) is a component of the large subunit of the eukaryotic ribosome. The record is from RNAcentral. Lineage: Eukaryota; Fungi; Basidiomycota; Agaricomycetes; Agaricales; Entolomataceae.